Molecule: ribosomal RNA, 336 nt
Filed under: uncultured Ruminococcus sp.
Lineage: Bacteria; Bacillati; Bacillota; Clostridia; Eubacteriales; Oscillospiraceae
Description: bacterial SSU rRNA
Rfam family: Bacterial small subunit ribosomal RNA
Source: RNAcentral
AGUAGUUUGAUCCGUGGCUCAGGACGAACGCUGGCGGCAUGCCUAACACAUGCAAGUCGAACGGAGUUUAAGGGGCUUGCUCCUUAAACUUAGUGGCGGACGGGUGAGUAACGCGUGAGCAACCUGCCUCUCAGUGGGGAAUAAUGUACUGAAAAGGACACUAAUACCGCAUGACGUACCGGAGUCGCAUGGCACUGGUACCAAAGAUUUAUCGCUGAGAGAUGGGCUCGCGUCCGAUUAGCUGGUUGGUGAGGUAACGGCUCACCAAGGCGACGAUCGGUAGCCGGACUGAGAGGUUGAACGGCCACAUUGGGACUGAGACACGGCCCAGACUCC